UCUAAAUAAAUUAAAACUUUCAACAACGGAUCUCUUGGUUCUGGCAUCGAUGAAGAACGCAGCGAAAUGCGAUAAGUAAUGUGAAUUGCAGAAUUCAGUGAAUCAUCGAAUCUUUGAACGCACAUUGCGCCCUCUGGUAUUCCAGAGGGCAUGCCUGUUCGAGCGUCAUUUCAACCCUCAA
Molecule: ribosomal RNA, 181 nt
Filed under: Cytospora chrysosperma
Lineage: Eukaryota; Fungi; Ascomycota; Sordariomycetes; Diaporthales; Cytosporaceae
Also listed under: 4 other names
Description: 5.8S ribosomal RNA
Rfam family: 5.8S ribosomal RNA (bases 15-168)
About the family: 5.8S ribosomal RNA (5.8S rRNA) is a component of the large subunit of the eukaryotic ribosome.
Source: RNAcentral